GACGAACGCUGGCGGCGUGCUUAACACAUGCAAGUCGAACGGAAAGGCCCUGCUUUUGUGGGGUGCUCGAGUGGCGAACGGGUGAGUAACACGUGAGUAACCUGCCCUUGACUUUGGGAUAACUUCAGGAAACUGGGGCUAAUACCGGAUAGGAGCUCCUGCUGCAUGGUGGGGGUUGGAAAGUUUCGGCGGUUGGGGAUGGACUCGCGGCUUAUCAGCUUGUUGGUGGGGUAGUGGCUUACCAAGGCUUUGACGGGUAGCCGGCCUGAGAGGGUGACCGGCCACCUUGGGCCUGCGAUACGGCCCAGACUCCUACGGGAGGCAGCAGUGGGAAAUAUUGCACAAUGGGCGGAAGCCUGAUGCAGCAACGCCGCGUGCGGGAUGCCGGCCUUCGGGUUGUAAACCGCUUUCGCCUGUGACGAAGCGUGAGUGACGGUACCGGGUAAAGAAGCACCGGCUAACUACGUG
RNAcentral lists this ribosomal RNA (468 nucleotides) under uncultured bacterium. RNAcentral describes it as "partial 16S ribosomal RNA". It matches the Rfam family "Bacterial small subunit ribosomal RNA", at positions 28 to 507 of the family's 1533-position model. The record is from RNAcentral.